Non-coding RNA from Ictidomys tridecemlineatus (thirteen-lined ground squirrel), 72 nucleotides. The record is from Rfam. Lineage: Eukaryota; Metazoa; Chordata; Mammalia; Rodentia; Sciuridae.
AUGGAUAUAGCUUAGUGGUAAAGUGUUUGCUUAGCAUGUAUAAGAUUCUGGGUUCAAACCCCAGUUUCACUA